Molecule: ribosomal RNA, 497 nt
Filed under: uncultured bacterium
Lineage: Bacteria
Description: partial 16S ribosomal RNA
Rfam family: Bacterial small subunit ribosomal RNA
Source: RNAcentral
GAUGAACGCUGGCGGCGUGCCUAAUACAUGCAAGUCGAGCGAACGGACGAGAAGCUUGCUUCUCUGAUGUUAGCGGCGGACGGGUGAGUAACACGUGGAUAACCUACCUAUAAGACUGGGAUAACUUCGGGAAACCGGAGCUAAUACCGGAUGAUAUUUUGAACCGCAUGGUUCAAAAGUGAAAGACGGUCUUGCUGGCACUUAUAGAUGGAUCCGCGCUGCAUUAGCUAGUUGGUAAGGUAACGGCUUACCAAGGCAACGAUGCAUAGCCGACCUGAGAGGGUGAUCGGCCACACUGGAGCUGAGACACGGUCCAGACUCCUACGGGAGGCAGCAGUAGGGAAUCUUCCGCAAUGGGCGAAAGCCUGACGGAGCAACGCCGCGUGAGUGAUGAAGGUCUUCGGAUCGUAAAACUCUGUUAUUAGGGAAGAACAUAUGUGUAAGUAACUGUGCACAUCUUGACGGUACCUAAUCAGAAAGCCACGGCUAACUACGUG